Long non-coding RNA from Mya arenaria, 2290 nucleotides. RefSeq lists it as uncharacterized. The record is from RefSeq and is a predicted model, not a curated record. The transcript has 2 exons. Lineage: Eukaryota; Metazoa; Mollusca; Bivalvia; Myida; Myidae.
UAGUAAGGAAAUGUAAUCAAGGCUAAAACAUGUAUGUGUGUAGCAACGGAAAUAAGAUUUGUUGUUUUUCCAUAACAUUUUUGAGCUUCUAGAUUCAGGGUGAGGAAUCACGUGACUUCAAUGGGGUUCUCACAUGUGUCACCACGGUUCAAAUCCGAUGUAAACAAUCAAGAAAGUGACAGUUAUUUCUAAAUUACCUUUUUAAGAGAAACGAUGGGAAAAUAUUUCUUAGCCUAUAGAAGACUAUACUAUUUUCUGCUUUUGGAUUAACUUGUUUUUAACGAUGGAAUCUUUGGCCAAAAUAUCGAAUCGACAGGAUUUUGUAGUACGAUGCAACGCUGUGUGCGCCGUUGGCAGUCAUGGUGAUACGUCCAAAUUAUUCAUUGUCAUUCUUUAAGAGACGGAGACAACCCUUAUAUGUUUCACCAAAUGUUGACAAAACAUGGAUAAAUUUAAUUGAUGCAGUGAUGAGUACAUUCAAAUGGAAGACAAGAUAUACUCCAGCCAACCCCGUUCCAUGUACAUCCCGUGGUAAAAGAAAGUCAACAGCGAAGAAAUGGUUUAAAGUAUUAUAUAUCACUAAACUAUUGAAUAAAAGAAAUAGUGAGGACAUGCUUUGCUGGUUGGAUCCAUUGUAUUUGUAUAUGACGUCAUUAUAAACUACUUAUUUCUUUUUUCAUGAUAUAUGAAAAACCCUUUGGGUGAAAUGAUUCAAAAGUUUUAACAUUUUAAGUUAUGGAUGUAAUGUAUGCAAUAACAAUUUCUUUGAUAUAUGUUUGCGUAUUACAACAGUAAAGUCAUGUUGUUUUUAUAUAAGUAUAAUCAUAUACCAUUGCUGUUUGACAUUACUAAUUAUAGGAAUUGUAAAUGUGUUUAAUUAUUUGUAAAAGAUUUCACAAUGUGAUUAUAUUAAAGCAACUGUGCACCAGAUGAUCAAAUUGCAAGAAAAAAAGAAAAAUGUCGAAAACUGACAUAAACUUGGUAUAAAUGUGUACAAUGCAUUGAAACUUACUAACUGAUGUAUCACAUAGUUUACAAUUUAUUUAAGUUUAGCAGUUAUUUCGUAUUUUUCCAUUAAAAAAGAUUACUGGGUAUGUCUACCUUAUAGAUUUCAUUCCUUAUGCGUGAUUGGCUAGUCGAUGUUAUCAUGUGAUAUUACCAAGUUAGGUUUAUAGCUUAAAUAUACCACUCGAUUGAAGUAAGCCUUUGUAGCACAGUGUAUACAACACUGGAUUGCAAUCUUGGCGACACGGGUUCGAACCCGGUCUCCGACACAAUUUUAUUUUUACAUUUUGGUACUUUUAUACAAUUAUGAUAUCAAAGCGUAACACAUUCUAUUGAAUAAUUGUCCUGGGAUUCAUUACAGGAUAAAACUUUUUUGGUGCCAAUCUGGUGUACAGUCCCUUUAAAUAUGUUAAAGCUGUUUUAAGAAAAUUGUUUAGAUAUUUAGAAAGAUUGCCAAAUUGUUAGUCAUGGGCAAAAGUUAUUAUAGAUAUAUUACAAUCACUAGGAUUUUAUGAUGCAUGGUUAUUUCAAAGCGUUGGUGAUUUUGAUAUAUAUUUAAAGUGAACGCAAACAGGGACUAAAAUGUUAAUGUACAAAAAUGGUUUGCUGAAUUUAUUAAUUCAGGUUCAGCCAAAACGUUUGUUUUGUUCACUGACUGUAAGUUACAACCACUUUUGUGUGCUGUAAAUGUAGUUAAAUUUAAUAAAUCAUUGACGAUACAUAGACUUUCGUCACAUAGGUAAGAAAUUGAGGCCGGUAAAUGACACAAACCUUAACCUAUUUCUGAAUUUGAAAGGAAGGGUCAAGUUUGCCAUAAAAUACAAGAUGAGUUCUAUUUCUUGUUUGAAUGUACUUUAUUUAGUUAUUGAAUAAGACAAUACAAUACAUACAUAAAAACUAUUUAAACAGACCAAAUACAACCAAAUUUGAUGAACUUUUACACAUACCAAUAAAUAUAUUUAAAGGAAAUUAGCAAUGUUUAUCGACAAAACUUCUUAAUUUAGAGUUCCUGUUGUACUUAUAAUGAUGUUAGAUAACUCAAUUAAAUUGUAUUUGUAACCACUGUAACCUCACUAUGGUUAUAUUAUAUUGUAUGUGUACUGUCUAUGUUUAAUUUGUGUUUCGAAAGUACCUUGUUAGUAAAGAUAAGUAAACAUGUAUUAAUAUAUAUCGUGACCUACGAUCGAUUGAUAGAAGUGCAUUUAAUUAUAUAUAUUAUGAAUUCCAUUGAUGUAUGUUCAUGGACCUAAGGCCUUUAUGCAUUUGAAUAAACUAUGAAACUUUA